AGCACCUUGAGUGGCCGUGGCAGCGGCUGCCCGGAGGGGCUCGGGGCAUGCGAGCCUGGCAGUGGUGCUCUGGGAAGGGCCAUUCUUGCAGGGGAGGGCGGGGCACAGGAUCCCUCUGCUGGGUCCCAGGGAAUUGCUUUGAAGCACAUGAAGGUGCCACUGGGUCUCAGAAAAUGGAGGUUAUGGUUAUGAAGUGUGUAUGACAUAUGUGUAUAGGAAGAGCGUCCGAAAGAGCAGGUUUGUCGCCGACCCCAGCACUCGCGACCCUGAGGUCCACAGCUUUCUCCUGAUGGGAGGUGAAUGGGUGGCAAAGGGUCUGCGCGUGUGGCAAGGGCUAGCACGCCAGGAGCUGCUGGCUUGGGUCAAGGUGGACCUGCUGGGCAGGGACAGAAAAGUGUCAGUCCCAGCCUGAGACGCUCUAGCAUUAGAGCUGUCCAAGUCCAGACAGCAGGGAGCAGGUGGGGAUCGGGAGGCGCGGAUCUGGGGGGCAGCUGGGGCCAGGCUGAAACAGAGCGGGCGGGACAGGAAGCACAGGCUGGGCAGCCUCCCCGGCCAGGGAGGAGCCAGGCUGGGCCAUCUCCAGGUCUGUCUGCCGACUACCCGCAGUAUCACUUACAGGGAUGGAUGACAUCCCAGGGCUGCUGCCACCCCCACCUGUGGGGAGACACCAGACUGGGGGUGGUGUGGAGAUACUCUUAGAGAAGAGGCUGCUGGGCCACGGGCUCGGCAUGGCAGGGCAGUGGCUAGCAGCUCAUCUGAUUUUAAGGGGCUUGCUGCCCUUGCAGAAGUGGAGGGGUGUGCCCAAAGGAGCCUGCCUGGAAGGUCACCCCAUCAGGUUGGCAUGACCCCAGCCCAGGACUGCAGCCUGCCCUCAAGGUCUGUGUAGUAUCUAGGGUGAGUCCUCUGAGGACAGGGCCCAGGGUGGGUGUGGAGUGGCCAGCUCGGGGCUUGGUGUCCAGGCUCACUUUCAGGGGCCACAGCACAGACCUGCCCUUCCAGUCUUCCCUGAGCUUGGCUGGGGAGGUGGGGGCUGCAGGAAGGAGCUGUGAGCAGGGCAGGAUGGAGAGUCAUGUGGCUCUCCUGGGAGGGGCUGGGCAGGGCUGGGAAAGGGGUGGGUGAGAUGUUCUGGAACUCAGGGAAAGGAAGAGUCUGGGUACUGCCCUGAGGGCACCUGGGCCCAGGUGGCAGGUGGCCAGUUUUCUGCCUCCUUUCCACCUCCUUUUUCCAGAAGGCACCCACCGGCUGUGUAAAUAGGGCAGGUGCCCACGGCCCGCCUCAGGCCCCGUCUCCUCCCCACCCACGCUCUCUAAUCGCGGAUUAUACACAAUCCAGCCUGAUCCCUGGGUAGCUGCCCUCCCUCCCGCAGCCACCUCUGGCUCUGAGAGAUGGGGUUGGGGCCAGCCUGGGGUCCCAGGAGUCCAGGCCAGGAUGAGAACCUGCUCUGACCCCACCUGGACGCAUUAGGCCUGCCUGGACCUGUUGCCUCACCCCAGGAGAGCCACAGGCAAUGCAAAGGCUCCUGUUCAUGUCAGGGCACCUGGAAGGCCUGACUUGCAGAGGCUCUUGGCUCGUGCAGACCCCUCCAAGCCCAGGCCCUGCCCACCACCUCCCCUUUGUCUCUGGAACUGCCAGGACAGCUUGUCCUCAGCCAGCAGGUUUCCCCACCCGGGCACCUCUUCAUGUUGGGCCCCCCUCCUUUCCCUCCAUCAGGGAUCAUGCCCUUCUUCAGGGGCCUGGAUAUCAAAGACACAAAAGCUCCCAUGUGCUAUGUGGGGAGGCAGAGUGGGGGCUGGGUUGAGCUGGGGUCUGGGCAGUGCCAUUCCGCAGGGCAGGGGCAGCCUAGGCUUCCCAUCUGUGGAAUGGAUGGGUGGGUCUCACAACGGACCUGCUUCCCGUACUUCAGCACGGUUACCACUCUUGAUUGGAACUCUGACCAUGCAUCUCCUCUUCUGUUUACUUUACGCUUUCUGUUCCCAUCAACUCCCGUUUUAAUUACAAUUUGUUUAAAAGCACUGCAUAUUACUUCAUUAAACAGAAGAUUAGCUUCACUUACCAUUAGUGUAAGGUGACUAUAGAACCAAAGCAGACUGGAAACCAAAUGACAUAAUGUCAUUCUCUUCUCCAUUCCAGCUGCCUGCUGCUGUGCGCCUGAGAACCCCUGUGGAGUGGGAGGGGCAGCUGUCUCUGUACAUUAGAAAGGGGGCUUAACUAAGUGACAGGAGGUGUUUGGGACAUGUGGACACCAGACUUCUCUCUUGAUGCAAGGAGGGCAGAGCCAGGCAGCCUAGUGGGGCCUGGCUUGGGGGCUGCUGGAAGGACUGGCUACAGGUGGAAGAGAGGUCAGACCUGAAGCUUGGGGCCACCUCCAGGAAAGGACAGGUGAAAGUGGAGGCAUGAGGCAGGGGAGAGGCAGGUGCCAGGCAGAGGGUGGAGAGGAGGCAGGAACAUAGCAGCUGGGGCGGGGGCGGGCCCUCAAGUGUCAUAUGCUACUUUCCUGGGGCGCAGGGGCAAGGACAGGAACAGCCACAGCAUGUGUUGGGACAGAGCCCUGUGCCUUCCUAGAGCUGGGCAGGUGGAAUGGGGCAGGAAUGGGACUCGUGGUGGCUGCAGCAGGAACUGGAGGGGAAGGGGCUUCUGGAUCCUGCAGCCUACCUUCCUAGAGGCCAGCUUUCUGGGGUCCACCAGGUGGGUGGGAACUGGGCUUGUGUAGCAAGACUGCCCUGAGGACCAUCCAUGACAUGGUCUAGAUGAAAGUUAGGCAAGAAAGGGAGAUAAGCUGGCAGCAGAAGUACAGCUGGGUCAGGAGCAAGGGCCUUUCCAGAUAGGGACAACCCACGAGUGCACGUGCCCACGCCACACAACACAGGCACACACGACACGUGCACACUCACAGGCACUGCACACACACAUGCACAGGUGCUCAUGCAUAUGUAUGAGCUUCAUCUACACACAUUCACAUGCCGUCCUGCUCGUGUGCAUGUUUCCAUACAUGCACAUGAAUGCACAAUCACGUGUACACAUGCAUGUGAUCACAUACAUGAACAUGUGUGCACCCCACUCCUCAGGUGCCAUCGGGCUCCUCCUCCUGUCACUGUGCAGCAGGGGACAUGAGGCCCCAGAGCAGACAGGUGCAGCACAGGUGUUCCCAGGCAGCGCCCCACACACAUGCAUGAGCACACCUGGGCGUGUGGCGCCUCCUUUGUGGACUCAGUCCACCUGCCAGGUGGGCUCCCUGGUGGUGUGAACUCCCAGAGGUCUGGCAAGAGAGAUAAAGGCAACCCCACCACCAGGGGUGCUGAGAAUUCCCUCUUCUGGCUGGGCACAGUGGCUCAUGCCUGUAAUCCCAGCACUUUGGGAGGCCGAGGUGGGCAGAUCACUUGAGGUCAGGAGUUUGAGACCAGCCUGGCCAACAUGGUGAAACCUCAUCUCCACUAAAAAUAUACACACACAAAAAAAUUAGCUGGGUGUGAUGGUGUGCACCUGUAGUUCCAGCUACUCGGGAGGCUGAGGCAGGAGAAUCGCUUGAACCUGGGAGUCAGAGACUGCAGUGAGCUGAGAUCAUGCCACUGCACUCCAGUCCGGGUGACAGAGUGAGACUCCAUCUCAAAAAAAAAAAAAAAAAAAAAAGAACUCCCUCCUCUGGGAAUUUAGA
Molecule: long non-coding RNA, 3652 nt
Organism: Gorilla gorilla gorilla (western lowland gorilla)
Lineage: Eukaryota; Metazoa; Chordata; Mammalia; Primates; Hominidae
Exons: 2
Source: RefSeq, a predicted model, not a curated record